RNAcentral lists this ribosomal RNA (425 nucleotides) under uncultured bacterium. RNAcentral's name for it is "bacterial SSU rRNA". It matches the Rfam family "Bacterial small subunit ribosomal RNA", at positions 356 to 773 of the family's 1533-position model. The record is from RNAcentral.
AGGGAAUCUUCCGCAAUGGACGAAAGUCUGACGGAGCAACGCCGCGUGAGUGAUGAAGGCCUUCGGGUCGUAAAACUCUGUUGUUAGGGAAGAACAAGUAUCGGAGUAACUGCCGGUACCUUGACGGUACCUAACCAGAAAGCCACGGCUAACUACGUGCCAGCAGCCGCGGUAAUACGUAGGUGGCAAGCGUUGUCCGGAAUUAUUGGGCGUAAAGCGCGCGCAGGCGGUCCUUUAAGUCUGAUGUGAAAGCCCACGGCUCAACCGUGGAGGGUCAUUGGAAACUGGGGGACUUGAGUGCAGAAGAGGAAAGCGGAAUUCCACGUGUAGCGGUGAAAUGCGUAGAGAUGUGGAGGAACACCAGUGGCGAAGGCGGCUUUCUGGUCUGUAACUGACGCUGAGGCGCGAAAGCGUGGGGAGCAAAC